This 406-nucleotide ribosomal RNA is filed under the name uncultured bacterium. RNAcentral's name for it is "partial 16S ribosomal RNA". It matches the Rfam family "Bacterial small subunit ribosomal RNA", at positions 30 to 526 of the family's 1533-position model. The record is from RNAcentral.
AUUGAACGCUGGCGGCAGGCCUAACACAUGCAAGUCGAACGAGUGGCGGCCGGGUGAGUAAUGUCCGGGUAACUGCCCGAUGGAGGGGGAUAACUACUGGAAACGGUAGCUACUACCGCAUACCAUCGGAUGUGCCCAGAUGGGAUUAGCUAGUCGGUGGGGUAACGGCUCACCUAGGCGACGAUCCCUCGCUGGUGUGAGAGGAUGACCAGCCACACUGGAACUUAGGAACGGUGCAGACUCUUGCGUGAGGGCGCAGUGGGGAAUAGUGGACAAUGGGCGCGAGCCUGAUGCAGCCGAGCCGCGUGUAUGAAGAAGGCCUUCGGGUUGUAAGGUCGUUUAAGCGAGGAGGGGUUACUCGCAGUAGAAGCACCGGCUAACUCCGUGCCAGCAGCCGCGGUAAUUC